GGUGGUAGUGCACAUAGAACCAGUUCCAGACCAGCCACCUAAAGAAGUUCCUGGUUCUAGUCGAUAUCUUGUGCUCAAAGAAACAGAAGUGGCCUUUAUUACACGGCAGCAGCUCCACUUUGUAGACCAGGAGUCUCCCGACAGUGAGCUCACAUACACAGUUACUACUCCACCUUUUUUCACUGGUCAUCACAGCAGUCCAGACGCAGGGAGGUUAUUUCUUGUUGACAGCAUACCCAAAUUUACCAAGGACUCCAGUGCACCAGUUUUGAGGCUCUUUACACAACAUGCAGUGAACUUCAUGAAAGUAGCCUACAUGCCUCCAGUCAUAGACAUUGGUCCUAACCCUAAAUAUAUCCAGUUUGUUCUGUCUGUAACCAAUCAUCUGGGUAAAACAGUCACUGGGAUCUGCUUUAACAUCACUAUAGUCCCAGUGGACAACCAGCCACCACAAGUCAUCACCAACUCUUUGACUGUAAACGAAGGAGGGGAAUGCUUGCUGAGC
This is a long non-coding RNA of Nematolebias whitei (Rio pearlfish), 505 nucleotides long. RefSeq lists it as uncharacterized. The record is from RefSeq and is a predicted model, not a curated record. The transcript is spliced from 4 exons. NCBI's taxonomy places the organism in Eukaryota, Metazoa, Chordata, Actinopteri, Cyprinodontiformes, Rivulidae.